Manihot esculenta (cassava) is the source of this 1542-nucleotide RNA transcript. It is a transcript of the gene named protein RALF-like 24, with no coding region annotated. The record is from RefSeq and is a predicted model, not a curated record. NCBI's taxonomy places the organism in Eukaryota, Viridiplantae, Streptophyta, Magnoliopsida, Malpighiales, Euphorbiaceae. The transcript has 3 exons.
AAAAGCAUGUGGUGGAUAGAUGUAUAGAGCAGCUUUGCAAAAUUCAAUAAAGGCAGGAGACUGUAUAGCGAAGGUUGGUUCCAGUCAUUUAUUCACAAAAACUCGGAUAGCCCCCCAGUGGGUGAGAGAUUAUGACGUCUGCCCACUGCUUCAUUUAUUUUCCCUUCCUGGAUUUUUAUGAAAAAUUAAACCCAUCCAAAGUUUCUGCAAAAUUACACCCACUUUUAUUUCAGACAUUCAACUUGGAACAACUGUUUUUUCACCCCCACAUCAUUUGUUAUCUCAUUCUAUAAUAAUUAGAUUUUGUUUUUCUUUAUAAUUCAGCGGCAUUAAGCUUAACUCUACACCCAUUUCCUACACUGAAGGUUUAACAGUUUUUCUUCACCACCUGCUUGCUUUAAUGCCGAACCUAAUUACAAGACUAAAAUGAUCCUUCCAUUCAAAAGAUUGUUGAGUGUUUUGGAGAUUAACAAACACUCGUAUAUUUAGAUUUUUUUUUUUUCUUUCCACGACUGGAGAAGUUGCUGCCUGAUGAUGAUUGAGUUCAGUGAGUUGCACCUAAGAAAAUAAAAGUGGACAUAACUCUCUAGUGGUAACCACACAGCCUUCACACUUAGAAUUACACUUGGGAACUGUUUGCCCCUCUUGUCCCAUCUAUGACCUUCCCAACCACCAAGUAUCUCACACCACAAGAACCCCCAGAACUGAACCACUCGAGCCGAACCAAGAACAUGUCCAGACCCACAUUCUACAUUCUGGCGCUCCUUUUCCUUCAUACCCAUCUCGCAAUUUGCAAUGGGGUUUCAGUUUCAGGCCUGGAAAACACUGAGAUUGAUGCCAUGGUGAGGAGGGGUUGCACCAACAAGAGUGGAGGCUGCUUUGAAGAUGCAGAGAUGGAGUCAGAGAUCAGCAGGAGAGUUCUUUUGCUGCAGAAGAAGUACAUAAGCUAUGAGACACUGAAGAGGGACAUGGUUCCAUGCGCUAAACCAGGUGCAUCUUACUAUGAUUGUCAUGCUGGAGAGGCUAAUCCUUACAGCAGAGGCUGUGAGGUCAUUACAAGUUUUCAUUGAAUCAAAGCAUAAUGAUAAUAAUAACAGAAGAGGAGUUGGGCUUGGUGACAACAGAAGAUGAGACAUGACCAACUAAGUUAGGCCCAAGACGGAGUUGAUGAGUUGGACUUGCAAAAAGCUGCAGUCUUUCAGUUUGUUGGACAUUAUUUCAAUCUUCUAAAAGAAAAACCAUCACAAGUACUUAGCCUCCCGUUACAAAAACACAGAGACACUGGACGGACAAAGAAACAAAUCCACGGCCUUGGAGUUAUCGUAGCUUUCACUGAACAAAUACCCGUGAGGCUGCAGUGAGCAUAUGAAGCCAAGAGGAGAGGGGCGGCCACUGCUCUACCUUUGCAUCUCCAAGCCCCAUCUGCAGUCGCUAUUAUUUUGAGUCCCGUGAUAGGACAGGACAGGGAGGAGGUCAGUCAACAUAUAUAUUUUUAUGAAUUUAUUAUUUGAUAUAAUAUUAUAUAACUAAAUUUAUUGAAAU